UGGGGAAUAUUGGACAAUGGGCGAAAGCCUGAUCCAGCCAUGCCGCGUGUGUGAAGAAGGCCUUUUGGUUGUAAAGCACUUUAAGUGGGGAGGAAAAGCUUAUGGUUAAUACCCAUAAGCCCUGACGUUACCCACAGAAUAAGCACCGGCUAACUCUGUGCCAGCAGCCGCGGUAAUACAGAGGGUGCAAGCGUUAAUCGGAAUUACUGGGCGUAAAGCGCGCGUAGGUGGUUAUUUAAGUCAGAUGUGAAAGCCCCGGGCUUAGCCUGGGAACUGCAUCUGAUACUGGAUAACUAGAGUAGGUGAGAGGGGAGUAGAAUUCCAGGUGUAGCGGUGAAAUGCGUAGAGAUCUGGAGGAAUACCGAUGGCGAAGGCAGCUCCCUGGCAUCAUACUGACACUGAGGUGCGAAAGCGUGGGUAGCAAACAGGAUUAGAUACCCUGGUAGUCCACGCCGUAAACGAUGUCUACCAGUCGUUGGGUCUUUUAAAGACUUAGUGACGCAGUUAACGCAAUAAGUAGACCGCCUGGGGAGUACGGCCGCAAGGUUA
This 549-nucleotide ribosomal RNA is filed under the name uncultured bacterium. RNAcentral describes it as "bacterial SSU rRNA". It matches the Rfam family "Bacterial small subunit ribosomal RNA", at positions 355 to 896 of the family's 1533-position model. The record is from RNAcentral.